UAAGAGAUAUUCUUCAUCUUCAACCUUAAGCCAUCGGACCAAUCAAUCAACACCCCUAAAUAGCGGACACCACCCAAAAGAGGAAAGGAGCCGCCUCACCCCUCUCUGAAUUCCUCCAUCCUAAGAGCAAAUAGCAGGAGCCGUCCAAACCCUCAUUGCUUCAGCCAUGGAAACCACCCAAAAGUCACUUUCUUCACCAAGCAAACUCCAAACUUCAGCUGAAUAAUCCACCCCAAAAUCGCAACAAAACAACCUGUGAUUGCAGCUAGGAAGAGCAGCGAAAAUUAGCUGCAAAACAGUCCAAAUUGCUGCUCCCUUUUCCACCCAAAAUCAACACCAAAACACCACCUCAAACCACCCCAAAUGAGCUCUGUUUUCUGCUCAAAAAAUACCCAAAACCCAGCAAAAUCCAAUUCAAAAAUAGCCAGAAACGCAGUUGGAAAUCACCCAGCCAAACAAGUUCAAAAUCAGUCCAAACUCAGUUCUGAAACCAUCUUUAAAGUGAGGCGAUGUUCGAGUUCGCCGGUCCGAGGUCCGGCGAUGUCGUUUGAAGUUUUCGAUCUAGUUUCGGUCAAAGUUUUCAACUUUCUCGGUUCGAGCUCAUCGGCCGUUAAUUUUAGAUGCUGUAAAUUUUAAUCAAAUGAAAGAACUUUAUUUCACUCAAAGGUUUAUUUUCUUCACCUUACUCUAUGAACUUCUAUCUUAAUUGCUGUUGCUCAUU
This 721-nucleotide long non-coding RNA is filed under the name Nicotiana tabacum (common tobacco). RNAcentral's name for it is "long non-coding RNA (NTAB_LNC013817)". Lineage: Eukaryota; Viridiplantae; Streptophyta; Magnoliopsida; Solanales; Solanaceae. The record is from RNAcentral.